Molecule: long non-coding RNA, 483 nt
Organism: Vollenhovia emeryi
Lineage: Eukaryota; Metazoa; Arthropoda; Insecta; Hymenoptera; Formicidae
Exons: 3
Source: RefSeq, a predicted model, not a curated record
GGCUAUAUAAGCGCUCUACGUCGCUGACAAAUCACAAACUUACAAAUUAACAUAGAUUGAGUGUUGAAGAAUAUUACAAAAUGCGUUUCUCACAUAUAACAUUAACUUUUGCCAUGAUCUUUGUUAUGGCGAUCAUGUAUACCGGAACAGAAGCAACAGCAGAACCAUUAGCCGACGCUUUGCCAGUGAGUGAUGCAAAUGCCGAAGCCUUCGAUAUUGCUGGUUUGAUUAAAACCCUAGCAGGAAAAGUAAAGGAUGCUUUGGGAAAGAAGUAGCUGCAUCUUUCGUGAAAUAAAAUACAAGUGAACAGCUGUUAAACCUGAAGAAAGAUUAUGAUAGAAAUGACGAAUUACAAGGGAUAUAUAUUAUAAAUAUCAUAUAUAUAUCAUUUUAAGCGAAAGUAUAAAUUAUAUUUAUAUGACUCUAUUGUACUUGCUUGUUUCAAAAUUAUGGAGAAAAAAUAAAUAAUAGGAUUGCAUCAUU